Molecule: ribosomal RNA, 460 nt
Filed under: uncultured bacterium
Lineage: Bacteria
Description: partial 16S ribosomal RNA
Rfam family: Bacterial small subunit ribosomal RNA
Source: RNAcentral
CCUACGUGAGGCAGCAGUGAGGAAUAUUGGUCAAUGGGCGGGAGCCUGAACCAGCCAAGUCGCGUGAGGGAUGACGGCCCUAUGGGUUGUAAACCUCUUUUGCCGGGGAGCAAAGUGCCGCACGUGUGCGGUUUGGAGAGUACCCGGAGAAAAAGCAUCGGCUAACUCCGUGCCAGCAGCCGCGGUAAUACGGAGGAGGCGAGCGUUAUCCGGAUGUAUUGGGUGGCAAGGGCGUGUAGGAGGGAAUGCAAGUCAGAUGUGAAAACUCAGGGCUCAACCCUGAGCCUGCAUUUGAAACUGUGUUUCUUGAGUGCUGGAGAGGCAAUCGGAAUUCCGUGUGGAGCGGUGAAAUGCGUAGAUAUACGGAGGAACACCAGUGGCGAAGGCGGAUUGCGGGACAGUAACCGACGCUGAGGCGCGAAAGCGUGGGGAGCAAACAGGAUUAGAUACCCUGGUAGUC